UUUAAAGCAAAUAAGGGCGCAUGGCGGAUGCCUAGGCGUUGAGAGGCGAAGAAGGACGUGGUAAGCUGCGAUAAGCUUCGGGUAGCUGCAUACAAGCGUUAAUCCGGAGAUUUCCGAAUGGGACAACCUGGUACACUGAAGGUGUAUCACUCGAAAGAGAGCCAACCCAGGGAACUGAAACAUCUAAGUACCUGGAGGAAAAGAAAAUAACAAAUGAUUCCCUAAGUAGUGGCGAGCGAACAGGGAAGAGCCUAAACCGCAGCGGCGUGCUGCUGCGGGGUUGUAGGACUGCAUUUAGAAAGUAUCAUCAAAACGAAGCAUCUGGAAAGUUGCGCAACAUAAGGUGAAAGCCCUGUAGUUGGAAAUUGAUAUGGACGAGAAGUAUCCUGAGUAGCGCGGGACCGGAGAAAUCCUGCGUGAAUCUGCCGGCACCAUCCGGUAAGGCUAAAUACUCCUUAAUGACCGAUAGUGAACCAGUACCGUAAGGGAAAGGUGAAAAGUACUCCGAACAGGAGAGUGAAAUAGUACCUGAAACCGUACGCUUACAAGCGGUCGGAGCCUGUUAAAGGGUGACGGCGUGCCUUUUGCAUAAUGAACCUACGAGUUGCUCCUCACUGGCAAGGUUAAG
RNAcentral lists this non-coding RNA (628 nucleotides) under Beta vulgaris subsp. vulgaris (sugar beet). RNAcentral's name for it is "Bacterial large subunit ribosomal RNA". It matches the Rfam family "Bacterial large subunit ribosomal RNA", at positions 1 to 650 of the family's 2925-position model. Lineage: Eukaryota; Viridiplantae; Streptophyta; Magnoliopsida; Caryophyllales; Amaranthaceae. The record is from Rfam by way of RNAcentral.